CUUUUCUCCUAUGUUGGCUUUACAAGUUCCUACUGUGCAUCCCUGCCCUAUCAUUUUCUUCUGAUUAUCUCUUUUUAGCCAAAAUACUAGCUUCGGGAGCGGUCGCAACCGGUUAUAUUCUUUGACUAACCGCCAAGAGGAGAAAUCUUCACCAGAUGUUGUCACAGGUAUGUUAUGAAUCUUUUCUCGUGAUGUUUAUGUAUUGCUUG
Molecule: long non-coding RNA, 209 nt
Filed under: Capsicum annuum
Lineage: Eukaryota; Viridiplantae; Streptophyta; Magnoliopsida; Solanales; Solanaceae
Description: long non-coding RNA (CANN_LNC006483)
Source: RNAcentral